Xiphophorus couchianus (Monterrey platyfish) is the source of this 474-nucleotide long non-coding RNA. RefSeq lists it as uncharacterized. Lineage: Eukaryota; Metazoa; Chordata; Actinopteri; Cyprinodontiformes; Poeciliidae. The transcript is spliced from 3 exons. The record is from RefSeq and is a predicted model, not a curated record.
CUGCGUUCAGCUCCACUUCCCUUUGGAAACCGAUUCUUCAGCUAAAUGUCUCACUUCUUGUCAAUAUUCACGACCUGCCGCAGGCCGUCUCCAGACGAGCGGCUGCCGCAUGCCAUCUACUGACUGGGAAAUUUCACAGGUUGACCUUUAGCCUCUCUGUGGCGAAGGUUGAAAACGUGAACGGCUCGAGACAAACAGAAACUAUCAGGACGACAGAAAAGAACAGAAAAACCAGCCAACACAGAAGCAGAUGAGAUCUGGAUGCUCACCUGCAGCGCGUGCAGACCGCCGUUGGCCAUCUUGGCUUCAGUCUGCGAUGCGUCCGACAGCUUCCUCAGGGGGGCGCUGGAUACCGUCGGGUCCCACGCAGCGCACCAGAGCCAGGCUGUGCGAAGCGCCGCAGGCCACCUGCAGCACCCACCUGCCAGCCAGCUGCUCCACCUUCUGAGGCUUCCAGACGGGGAAGACGGCCGC